GAGCAACAUGUGGUCUGGUACUGCUAGAUUCAUGAGUCCCCAUCUGCUCAGAAUUCAAGAUGGGAUCUCUGCUCUUAGCAUCAAGACCCUUUUUGAUGAAUGCAAAUGGUGGCUGACAGAAUGUGACUCAGAGGAAAGACUGACAGUCUACAUCAGUCUCCUGAUUUACAGCACAUUUAACUCUCCUGAGUCAACACAAAGAAAAAGAAACAGGAUAUUAGUAACGAGAAGAAAAGCCAUGUGAAUCCAUAGGGAGAAGGCAGCUGUCUGCAUACCAGGAGGAGAGCUCCCACCCGAACCCAACCAUAGUGCCACCCUGAUCUUGUACUUCCAGCCUCUCAGCUGUGAGAAAAUAAAUGUCUGUUGUUUAAGAC
RNAcentral lists this long non-coding RNA (374 nucleotides) under Homo sapiens (human). RNAcentral describes it as "novel transcript". Lineage: Eukaryota; Metazoa; Chordata; Mammalia; Primates; Hominidae. The record is from RNAcentral.